This 292-nucleotide ribosomal RNA is filed under the name uncultured bacterium. RNAcentral describes it as "partial 16S ribosomal RNA". The record is from RNAcentral.
GGACUACUAGGGUUUCUAAUCCUGUUUGAUCCCCACGCUUUCGUGCCAGAGUGUCAGUAAUCGUCCAGAUAGCCGCCUUCGCCACCGGUGUUCCUGCUAAUAUCUACGAAUUUCACCUCUACAUUAGCAAUUCCGCUAUCCCCUCCGAUACUCUAGCUUUACAGUUUCAAAGGCAAUUCUGGGGUUGAGCCCCAGGAUUUCACCCCUGACUUGUAAAGCCACCUACGCACGCUUUACGCCCAGUAAAUCCGAACAACGCUAGCACCCUUCGUAUUACCGCGGCUGCUGGCAC